UUGUUUUUUGGUGCUUAAAUAAUUAUUUAGCCAUUGCCAAAAUCACUUCAAGAGUAUGAGAUGAGAUCUUCAUAGCAAAUGCUUUCCAUAUUCACCAAUAAUCCAUACAUGAGCAAUACCUUUCUCUAAAAUGGUGAAAUCGAUAACAAUCUCUCAGAAGUAUCUCUCUACCGUAAAGCCUAGAUGUAAGACCCAGCCUGCUACCAAGCCCGGGCCCAUGGAAGUGUUUCUAGAACACGUCGCAUAUUUCGCGCCCUCUUUGCCAUUUUCAUGCAUGCCCUUUUUCAUCCUCGUCCUCUAGGUUUUUCUCUUUACUACUUAUAUCUUAUAUUUAAUUGUAUUUAUCAUCCUUAACCCUAGUUUAUGUGCCACUCGACCUCUUCACAGUCAAACAAGAACUCCACUUCACUGCGCUAGUUGCUGUCAACCACACCCUCCAUCACCGAAGCAGAGCCUCACCUACAGCCACCCUAACCCCUCGGUACCACCUGCUGCAGCUCACCUGCGUCCAUUGGAGUGCACCACAACACCCUUAGCCCUUGCGCAUCCCUGCGAAAUCAAGCGCCCCCCCAUCACGGAAAGCUCUAUUCCCGCACCAAGAAACAAAGGAGUGUUUCUCCUCCACGUGAGCGUUCAAACUGCCCACCCACGGAGCCUGCUGUCGUCCCAUCACUCUCAACCCACUACGCGCCAACUCAGCCUCUCGCUUUCUCUCUUCCUCUCUCUCCCUGUGCGACGCCGUCUAGGAAGUCACCACCACCUCAGCCUAUCAUCCGGUGUGCUCCCGCGGUGCCACUGCCUCGGUUUUCCAUGGGUGAUGAUUAAUAAUUGUUCGACAUUGGGAGGAAAUUUUUGGAAAAGCUAACAAGUCCAGAUGACAUUGAUUUCCCAGCUGGGGGUCUGGAUUAGAGAUUGGAGCUUGAUUUGAUAUGGAUAGAAGAUUGAGUCCCAUUGUUAGUAGAAGGGUAUAACUCGAGUAUUUGAAAUACUUUGAGUUGUUUGGACCUAUUGAGAAUUUAAAAGAUGUGUCAUUUUAUUUCGUUGAGAUUAUUGGAAAAUUUGGACCCCUUUGGUUUAUGCUAUUUUGUAAUGAUGAUUUAUGAAGUUUGUAUUAUGGU
This is a long non-coding RNA of Juglans regia (Persian walnut), 1118 nucleotides long. RefSeq lists it as uncharacterized. The record is from RefSeq and is a predicted model, not a curated record. Lineage: Eukaryota; Viridiplantae; Streptophyta; Magnoliopsida; Fagales; Juglandaceae. The transcript is spliced from 4 exons.